RNAcentral lists this transfer RNA (75 nucleotides) under Verrucomicrobiota bacterium. RNAcentral describes it as "Verrucomicrobia bacterium (groundwater metagenome) tRNA-Val". It matches the Rfam family "tRNA". From Rfam's summary of the family: Transfer RNA (tRNA) molecules are approximately 80 nucleotides in length. Their secondary structure includes four short double-helical elements and three loops (D, anti-codon, and T loops). Lineage: Bacteria; Pseudomonadati; Verrucomicrobiota. The record is from RNAcentral.
GGGCGAUUGGCGCAGUGGUAGCGCAGCUCCCUUACACGGAGUGGGUCGGAGGUUCGAAUCCUUCAUCGCCCACCA